RNAcentral lists this ribosomal RNA (559 nucleotides) under uncultured Candida. RNAcentral's name for it is "partial 18S ribosomal RNA". The stretch from base 201 to 354 matches the Rfam family "5.8S ribosomal RNA". Lineage: Eukaryota; Fungi; Ascomycota; Saccharomycetes; Saccharomycetales. The record is from RNAcentral.
AUUUAGAGGAAGUAAAAGUCGUUUCAAGGUUUCCGUAGGUGAACCUGCGGAAGGAUCAUUACUGAUUUGCUUAAUUGCACCACAUGUGUUUUUCUUUGAAACAAACUUGCUUUGGCGGUGGGCCCAGCCUGCCGCCAGAGGUCUAAACUUACAACCAAUUUUUUAUCAACUUGUCACACCAGAUUAUUACUAAUAGUCAAAACUUUCAACAACGGAUCUCUUGGUUCUCGCAUCGAUGAAGAACGCAGCGAAAUGCGAUACGUAAUAUGAAUUGCAGAUAUUCGUGAAUCAUCGAAUCUUUGAACGCACAUUGCGCCCUCUGGUAUUCCGGAGGGCAUGCCUGUUUGAGCGUCGUUUCUCCCUCAAACCGCUGGGUUUGGUGUUGAGCAAUACGACUUGGGUUUGCUUGAAAGACGGUAGUGGUAAGGCGGGAUCGCUUUGACAAUGGCUUAGGUCUAACCAAAAACAUUGCUUGCGGCGGUAACGUCCACCACGUAUAUCUUCAAACUUUGACCUCAAAUCAGGUAGGACUACCCGCUGAACUUAAGCAUAUCAAUAA